GGAUGUCAGGAGACCUCCCUGUUGUAAUUUGUUUGGAUCAGUUCAGCUGUGGCCUUCUUUUCAUCAAAAUGUCAAAAGAACUUGGAGAGUUGUCAAAGUCUGGAAUGCCCUAUCUGAUCCAGUUAUCUCAACUACAAUUUUUCACAGUUUCAGUCACAAAUUGACUUCCAUGGACCUUACUUCAUACUUAAGUGGCACCUGAAGAGUGCUGUCAAAUGCUAACAUAUUAAUUGUUGGAACAGAACCAUCUGAUAGCAAUUGCAGUUCAGAUGGUGACUCUGAGCAAUGGUCGACUGAAGAGGACUCUGAAAGACCAUUGUAGACCACCAUGCCAAAAAGAGAUGAUAUACUGACUACUCAGAACUCCUUUCUAAAUCAAGGAAAGGACAGUGAUCACCACAGCUUGUUCUAGUCAGAAACUCCCUGUGAAGAGAACGUAAAAUGGCAAUUUCCAGCUGGUUUGGGAGCUCUGGUAGCCAGAGCAGGAAACAUCCAGUCUAAGUUUUGGUUUGGCACCUUCAAAAGGAUACUGGGUUUGUCUGCUCUUCUAUCUACAAAUUGCUUGUUAAUGAGUGUUUCUAGAUGUUAAGAACCUUUGGCAAAACAAGCUGUAUUGGGAGAUUCACCUUUUACCCAGAUAAAAGUUAGUUUAAGGAUUAACAAGGAAAGCUUUAAUCUUUGGAAAACAGCAAAAGGGAGAUUAGACUGUUGAUUUUGGAAAGUUAAGGGUUAGAAGAACUUGAAAGGAUAUACCUGUAAGGUGUUAAAAUUUUUACAAAAAAUAUAUAAUGACUUUGAAAUUAACUGUACGUAAAUCUCCUAUGGGAAUUUUUUUUGAUUUGGAAAAUAAACAAAAGAUAAAAGGAGAUUUGAAGGUUGACUAAAGGGAACAAGAGAGAACAAACAAAUAUGAUUAAAAGAGAAAUGACCCAUUAAUACAAUGGUCAAUACUAUUUGACUAAAGAAGAAAGGCUGUUUGGGAACUAUGUCCUCAGAAAUUACUUACAAGAUUGUGUGAUACUAUAAUGAAGGGUAUAGUAGAACAACAGAUAUUAUUAGAUAAACAGAUAUUGAGUCUGAUGUGAAUGUGAAUUUGGAUUUAUUUAUUUUUUUUAAAUUCUGGUUUACAAAAGUAAUAUGAAAAAAGAUGCUGAAGAUUUGAAAAUGUAUUUAAAAAUGUCAGACUGUAAAUGUGAUAUAGAAAAAGAUGCUAAAAUGGAUUUACAAAUGAAACCAGUUGAUGUCUUAAUAAUUAAAGGUACCAAACAAAGAAUAAAGCGCAACUUGGAAAGCCCUCUCAUCUUGGAUUUACAAAAGAAAGGUGUUAAACUAAUGAAGUUGUUCCUGAGAGAAGAAAAAGAGAUAUUAUUGAAGUUGUUCCUUCAAGGAGGCAAAGAGAAAAUGAUAAGAUAUUAACUUGUGGGGCAUUAUUUGAUUGAUUAAAGAUCAAGCUGUUUAAAAUAAAACAGAAGAUUUAUAAAGUGAAUUUAUUUCAUAAACAAGUUGUGGUUUCUGGUAGAUAUCAAUGGGAUUUCUUUUUGACUAGGACUGAGUGAUAAGACUUUAAAGAUUGGUGUGGAAAAAUUAAUUUUCUUUAUUUUUUAGAGAAAGCAAUAUAGAUAUAUUUGAUUAAGACUAAAAUAUACCAUAUUUUUCGGAGUAUAAGAUACACCUUUUUCCCCCAAAAAAGAGGGUGAAAAUCUGGGUGCGUCUUAUAGUCCGAAUGUAGCCCCACCCAGGUUCUCAAAUGGAGGUUUCAGAAGCUGAAAAAAGCACCAGAAAUGAAGCUUCAGAAAAGGAGCCCCCAAACAGAGCUUCAGAAAAAAAGCCUCCAAACAGAGCUUCAGGGAAAAAAAAAAAGCCCCCAAAGAGAGCUUCAGAAAAGAAGCCCCCAAACAGUGCUUCAGAGGCUUUUUUUCUAAAGUUCUGUUUCAUAGGCUUUCAGAGGCAGGAAAAGUUUUUUUCUGAAAUGGGGUUUCAGAAGUUCAGAGGCAGAAAAAAAAGCCAAAAAAAAAAAAAAAAAAGCAAGCCACAGAGUUCAAAACCAAGAAACCUUUUGCUAAAAUUCACAUCUGGGAACAACUGAUUCGGGGUAUUCCAGGAGGCCGAUCCACCUGCCAAUUAGCUUUUUUCUUAUUUUCCUUCCCAAAAACUAAGGUGCGUCUUAUACUCUGGUGCGUCUUAUACUCCGAAAAAUACAGUAUGUUAUGAUUUCUGACAACCCUUAAUAAACUUUUGCUGAUUAGAACUGAUAA
This is a long non-coding RNA of Pantherophis guttatus, 2255 nucleotides long. RefSeq lists it as uncharacterized. The record is from RefSeq and is a predicted model, not a curated record. Lineage: Eukaryota; Metazoa; Chordata; Lepidosauria; Squamata; Colubridae.